GGGCGAGUGGCGGAAUGGCAGACGCGGCGGCCUUAAAAGCCGCAGCCCUUCAGGGCAUCUGUGGGUUCGACUCCCACCUCGCUCAC
This 86-nucleotide transfer RNA is filed under the name Streptomyces sp. YIM 121038. Its description in RNAcentral is "tRNA-Leu". It matches the Rfam family "tRNA". From Rfam's summary of the family: Transfer RNA (tRNA) molecules are approximately 80 nucleotides in length. Their secondary structure includes four short double-helical elements and three loops (D, anti-codon, and T loops). Further hydrogen bonds mediate the characteristic L-shaped molecular structure. tRNAs have two regions of fundamental functional importance: the anti-codon, which is responsible for specific mRNA codon recognition, and the 3' end, to which the tRNAs corresponding amino acid is attached (by aminoacyl-tRNA synthetases). tRNAs cope with the degeneracy of the genetic code in two manners: having more than one tRNA (with a specific anti-codon) for a particular amino acid; and 'wobble' base-pairing, i.e. permitting non-standard base-pairing at the 3rd anti-codon position. Lineage: Bacteria; Bacillati; Actinomycetota; Actinomycetes; Kitasatosporales; Streptomycetaceae. The record is from RNAcentral.